This is a non-coding RNA of Phacochoerus africanus (Common warthog), 2321 nucleotides long. The record is from the annotation of a RefSeq genome assembly. NCBI's taxonomy places the organism in Eukaryota, Metazoa, Chordata, Mammalia, Artiodactyla, Suidae.
GCAAAAGCUGAGUGUAUGAGGACUAUAACACGUCUAUGAAAUUGCAAGUAUUUUUGUGCAGCUGAAGUACUAAGUGCAAGUGGAGAAGUGGCCAAAAGUGAGACUGAAGAGGAAAGCAGAUAAGCAGAUUGUAUGGCCAUGACAUAGAUCUUCACAUUCCAAUAAAAGCCAAAGGGAGUGACUACAGGAGUUUCAGCAGAGGUGACCUGAUCCCCUUUGGUCUGAAGAAAAAUCAGUGUGAUGCCAGCAUGGAGAAUGGAUGAAGGGGGGCGCGGGUAGCCUGGAAGCAGGAAGACUUCUUGGAACAAUACGUCUACAGCCUAUUAGGUAUAGCAAUAGCCCGCAACAGGGGAAGAACGCUCAGACUGAGGCAGUGGUGGCAGCGGCCAGAGGGGACAGAUGGGACCAGCACAGCAAGGGUCUGGAGGCAGAAUGACCGUAAGCGGCAGGUUGGUUCACCCCUGCACAUCCACCCACCCCUCUCCCCCAUCCCUUGAAGCUUUCUCUUGGGAAUGCCCCCCAGACAACCCUCCUCCACUCUCACAGCUCAGUUCAGGCAGAAGCAGCUCUUUGCUCAGUGCUCCUGGAGCACUUUGGAUGUACGUUUUUUCAUAGCACUUCACACCCCCUUACAACUGCCCUGUGUCUGUCUCCCAUAGAAGCCGAGCUCUCCGAAAGCAGAACUUUAUGUUACAUCUUUAUGUCAGAAGUUCACCUUUAAGUCUCUCAAAGAGUAUCUGGCCCGAAAUAGGUAGUUAGCACGUGUUUGUUGAAUAAACAGCCUAACCUAUGACCUUGCCGUCUCUGAGGAAAUGACAAACACCCAACCACCCUUAUAAGGGACAGAACUUCCCAGGGGCAGACAGCAGCUGAUCUGCACAGUGGCGGCCAGGGGACCAGCACACCACAGAGUCACCCCGUGAAGCCAUGCUGUGGACCUGUCGUCUCAUCUAUCUCGCCAUCUUCUGCGCAGGGGUCUCUUUGGAUGUCAUUUUGGAACCAGAGACCAAAACUCUGACUGUUCUCCUUGGGGAGCCUGUCACCUUCCGUUGCAACGUAACUGGAGGGGACUUGAAGAACUAUCAGGGGAGCUGGUAUAAGAAGAAUGAAGAUCACUCCCUGACUUUAGUAUACAGACUAAAUAGUUCUAAUGAAAAUGUAAGAAGUCAUUUCAAAGGGAAAAUAGAUACCUUAAAAAGUCAAUACAUCCUCGACAUUGAAAAAGCAACAACAAAAGACGCUGGGACUUACCACUGUGCUUCUGACACCCACAGCGCUGCAGUCCUGUUUCUGACUGCCUUAAAUCCCCCCAGUCAAAGGGGAAGUGGCAGAUCCAACUAGAGCCCACCCAAAACGAGCACCACCCUUGAGGUGAGACCACUUGAUAAUCUCAACGGUAACAUCUGAUAAGAGCAUCAGGAGUUGAGUUGGGGCAAGGGCUUUAUCUUUGAGGUUGGUUGAGAGGGGCCUUUUUAUCAGCCAAAGAGGGCAGCAGAGAAGGCUGUUAGGUCUUUUGUGGGGGGAGACCAAGGAGACCCUGCUCCUGUCUCUCACAGACUCCUGAGAAAGACUGGGGAAAAAACCCCACAAAAACAAAAAACAAAAAACAGCCUUCAAUACUGACAAGGUCCUCUCAUUGUGGAGAGGCUGGGAUGAGCAGGAUUUCUCCUACAGGAAGUGCCAUAGUUGAUUUCAGAGUCUUUGUCAUGAAAGUGUUGGCGUAUGUAAACUAGAUAAAGCAAGGAUGGGUUUCCAUUGCCAACCUGAUCAAAAUUUUCAAAGUGAUCUGAGAGAGCUUUCACUCUUCGUCUGUGAUGAGGGAUGACUGGGGUCAUUUUCGGAAAUGCUCCCAUAACUAUUUCAAGGAUUGAAUGUUUUGUAUCUUGCCUUAGCGACAGAGGCGCUCUGGGGACCCACGGGGAUGGCAGAGAGGGAUACACGUGGGCUUCCUUUAUGUCAGUUGCCCAGAGAAAUUUUAGAAACAAAUACUUGGGGCAAUGUGGGAUUUCUGAGUUGGUCAUGAAUCAACUGAAUAAUAAUAAAAAAAAAAAGAUCCCCAAGUGCCACGUUGAAAUGGGGGAGCCAAAAGUGUCUGUGACUUCAGGGAGCCAAGCCCUGAGGCACCACUGAGCUGAAUGAUGGCAGGAGGGCUUAAAGACACAAACACUGACUAAUCAUCUGAGGGAGUGCUUUCAUCCUCUUGGCUUUAGUAGCCGACUCUUUGUUUUUUUGGCUCCAGUGUCUAUGUCUGGAAUCCUCCCUCCACAUUAGGCCAUUUGCAGCAACAUGAGUGGACCUAGAGAUUAUCAGACUAAAUGCAG